UAACACGUGGGUGAUCUGCCCCUGACUUUGGGAUAAGCCUGGGAAACUGGGUCUAAUACCGAAUAUUCAUUUUUCCUCGCAUGGGGAUUUGUGGAAAGCUUUUGCGGUUGGGGAUGGGCCCGCGGCCUAUCAGCUUGUUGGUGGGGUAAUGGCCUACCAAGGCGACGACGGGUAGCCGACCUGAGAGGGUGAUCGGCCACACUGGGACUGAGACACGGCCCAGACUCCUACGGGAGGCAGCAGUGGGGAAUAUUGCACAAUGGGCGCAAGCCUGAUGCAGCGACGCCGCGUGAGGGAUGACGGCCUUCGGGUUGUAAACCUCUUUCAGCUCCGACGAAGCGCAAGUGACGGUAGGAGCAGAAGAAGCACCGGCCAACUACGUGCCAGCAGCCGCGGUAAUACGUAGGGUGCAAGCGUUGUCCGGAAUUACUGGGCGUAAAGAGCUCGUAGGCGGUUUGUCGCGUCGUCUGUGAAAUUCUGCAGCUUAACUGCAGGCGUGCAGGCGAUACGGGCAGACUUGAGUACUACAGGGGAGACUGGAAUUCCUGGUGUAGCGGUGAAAUGCGCAGAUAUCAGGAGGAACACCGGUGGCGAAGGCGGGUCUCUGGGUAGUAACUGACGCUGAGGAGCGAAAGCGUGGGUAGCGAACAGGAUUAGAUACCCUGGUAGUCCACGCCGUAAACGGUGGGUACUAGGGUGU
RNAcentral lists this ribosomal RNA (700 nucleotides) under Gordonia sputi. Its description in RNAcentral is "bacterial SSU rRNA". It matches the Rfam family "Bacterial small subunit ribosomal RNA", at positions 111 to 824 of the family's 1533-position model. Lineage: Bacteria; Bacillati; Actinomycetota; Actinomycetes; Mycobacteriales; Gordoniaceae. The record is from RNAcentral.